Molecule: transfer RNA, 72 nt
Filed under: Camelus bactrianus (Bactrian camel)
Lineage: Eukaryota; Metazoa; Chordata; Mammalia; Artiodactyla; Camelidae
Also listed under: 2 other names
Rfam family: tRNA
About the family: Transfer RNA (tRNA) molecules are approximately 80 nucleotides in length.
Source: Rfam by way of RNAcentral
GGGUGUAACUCAAUGGUAGAGUGUGCAUGCUUAGCAUGCAUGAUGUCCUGGGUUCAAUCCCCAGUACCUCCA